AUGGGGCAACAACACGAUACCCGGAGGUGCCUUGUGAAGUUCCUCAUUGCUCCAGAUUUCAGAGGCAGACGCUGCUUCAUGUACCCAGGACCUGUUUCAAAUUCAGCUGCUAAUUCAGGUCAGGAAGCUGAUCCAACUCAUCAUUCGUUGCACAAUGGCUGGAGCUGGCAGGACAGGGAACCGCAGCCAGAAACCGCAAAGCAGGUAACUUCAGUGCAUAACAGAAUGGUAACUCGAAAAGCCUUGAAAUUCACUGUGUUGAGGACAGUUUGGGACUACACAUUUCCCACAGGUAUGUUUUAGUUAAGACUAAAUACCACCAGAAGUUACGGUUCAGGAUCAAGAUCUUUUUUGAAAUCAAGAAACAAGAAAAGCUUGCUGUCAGCAACUGUGAGCACAGUUUAAAAUGUUUUCCAUCAUUACAACACUGCCCUCC
RNAcentral lists this long non-coding RNA (436 nucleotides) under Pavo cristatus (Indian peafowl). RNAcentral's name for it is "lncRNA (ENSPSTG00000000155.1)". The record is from RNAcentral. Lineage: Eukaryota; Metazoa; Chordata; Aves; Galliformes; Phasianidae.